CCCCCCCCCCCCAAAAAAACCAAGGAAAAAAGACAAAUGGCGCAACUAGAGAGGGGGAGACGCGUCAUUCAAGCGCAACAAUGGACACCAGUUUAAAACGGUCAAUGCAGAAGUGCUGCGAAAUGUGUUUGGGUUUCUGCACACGUCGUCCAUAGCAGCAGGCGCGCGCGCGUGUCACGGAGAGAGAGAGAGAGAGAGAGCGAGGGGAGGGCGGAGGGGGGAGAGAGGGGAGGGGACCAGCGACGCAGCAGCUCCUCGCACACUGUCAUCCGAGAGGCCGGGGAGGAGAUGCUGGGAUGCGGGGGAGAGGAAGCCUCGGCCUCAGCUCGUCUCUGCCCACCGAAGCAGAAGUCGUGCCUUUUUUUUUUGUUGUUGAUGUGUUAAUUCUCGUUUUUUUUAUUUUUUUAUUUUUAUAACAACGCACGUGUGGGUCGGAUCGACUCGUUGUGCAGGUUGGCUCUCAGUCAGUGACGCGGCGUGCAGCCUUUGGGUUUCUCCCAGGACUCCUCGUGGACACUUGCGUUAAAAUACUGCGUGGAAUUGAACCGGAGGUGCAGGAUUUAUUCAAGUGAAUGAAUGGCUUGAAGCUGAAAUACAGAAAUACACACACAGUCUGAACCGUGGUGCACAUCGGGCCCUGCUCUGAGGGUCAGAGGUCACGGUCUGGCUCAGAACAAGACUGUGUCACUCCAAAGAUACAGAGAAUAAGAGUUGCAUUUGAGAAUCAGACAAGGGGAGAUCGGAGGAGGUCCCACAGCCUGUGGCUGCCUUGGACCACCUCUUAAACCUUCCACUUGACGAGGACUCCGUCGAGAUCGUCUCCUCGAUCUGGAUGAAUCGAUGCAGACGAGCUUCAGAGGUGGAGGCGGAGCCACGGGCCACAUCUGAG
Long non-coding RNA from Pungitius pungitius (ninespine stickleback), 889 nucleotides. RefSeq lists it as uncharacterized. The transcript is spliced from 3 exons. Lineage: Eukaryota; Metazoa; Chordata; Actinopteri; Perciformes; Gasterosteidae. The record is from RefSeq and is a predicted model, not a curated record.